Molecule: long non-coding RNA, 1035 nt
Filed under: Marmota monax (woodchuck)
Lineage: Eukaryota; Metazoa; Chordata; Mammalia; Rodentia; Sciuridae
Source: RNAcentral
CGGCUCCACUUCGCUUCCGCGUCAACCUCAGCGUGCUGAGGGCGGGGCCCUUGGCGCCCCGCCAGCCGCGCUGUCACCUCAGCUGGUGAGCUAGGGUGGGACAGCAACUAACUAGCCUCCUCACCUGUCCCCAACUUCCUAGGUGUGAGGCCUGCGGCUGCCCCUCGUGGCCGUGGGACCGAGUGGACGCGGCCCUGGAUGCUGGGCUUUCUCGUGGGAAAUGGGCCUCAGCCAGGGUAAUGGGACUGCUGCCCAGAAGGACAGGGCUCCUUAGAAGGCGCCUGCCACUCUCCUUGCUUUGAGGGACCGCCUCCAAGGGCCUCCUGGACUGACAGCUGCUGGCGAGGGCUUUCCUGGGCAUAUGUUGUGAGCUCUGCCCCAGCCUCAGGUUGGGAAGUGGGACCUUCCUUCAAGCAGGCACGACACUCAGGGUAGCACUGCCCUGUGGUGGCCCUGUGCAGUCAGCUAUGUGGUAGAAAACAGACUCUCCCAGGGUGCUGGGACUAAGCACCUAAGAAAAGAAACCACACCAAAAAAAGCCAAGGACCCUCGCUUCCCAGGCUCCCCAUGAGAUUGGCCUUGGAAUCCCCAGAGCUGCUGUGCCCUGAUGUCCUUCCUCCAAGAAGCCUUCCUGCUUAACUGCUGAAGCGUUUGCUGUCACCCUGACCUCCAUUACUGUUUCCAUACACUCCCAUUAACUAAGGUAACCUGGAAGGAUAACUCAGUUCCCUGUUGUUUGGAAUGGCCAAAAGGAUGCAAAGAGGCAGCACAAGGUAUGGAUCAAAUAGAUGGUAGCUGAUUGUAUUAAGUAAAGGAAGUGUCAAGUAAGUGGAAGAAUUGUCACUGCAGAUAUGAUGGCGCCCUCCCUAAUAUUGUGUUUUAUUUCUCUUCUUCAGUGUGUAGUGGCUGUGGUUGGUUCGGGGAUAAUACAUGCUCUAAGGUGUACAGUCACUGAGAUUCAAGACUUCGGUUAAUGUUUUGAUUUAGAUAUAAUGCCCCCACCCUUGGGAUAUGAUUGAAGAAACACAGCAGCUC